RNAcentral lists this unclassified non-coding RNA (400 nucleotides) under soil metagenome. RNAcentral's name for it is "partial contains 5.8S ribosomal RNA, internal transcribed spacer 2, and large subunit ribosomal RNA". The stretch from base 1 to 122 matches the Rfam family "5.8S ribosomal RNA", at positions 35 to 154 of the family's 154-position model. The record is from RNAcentral.
GAUGAAGAACGCAGCGAAAUGCGAUACUUGGUGUGAAUUGCAGAAUCCCGUGAACCAUCGAGUCUUUGAACGCAAGUUGCGCCUCAAGCCAUUAGGUUGAGGGCACGUCUGCCUGGGCGUCACAUAUCGUUGCCUGAUGCCAGCUUCCUCGUGAUGGGUGACUGUGCAGGGCGAAUGAUGGCUUCCCGUGAGCAUUGUUGCCUCAUGGUUGGUUGAAAAUUGAGUCCUUGGUAGGGAGCGCCGUGAUAGAUGGUGGUUGAGUGACGAACGAGACCCAAUCAUGUGAGACCCCUACCGAAUUUGGCCUUCAUGACCCACAUGCGUCUUUGGAACGCUCAUGACGAGACCUCAGGUCAGGCGGGGCUACCCGCUGAGUUUAAGCAUAUCAAUAAGCGGAGGA